RNAcentral lists this ribosomal RNA (253 nucleotides) under uncultured bacterium. RNAcentral describes it as "partial 16S ribosomal RNA". It matches the Rfam family "Bacterial small subunit ribosomal RNA", at positions 524 to 776 of the family's 1533-position model. The record is from RNAcentral.
GACAGAGGGUGCAAACGUUGUUCGGAAUUACUGGGCGUAAAGCGCGUGUAGGCGGCUCGGAAAGUCGGAUGUGAAAGCCCUGGGCUUAACCUAGGAAGUGCAUUCGAAACUCCCGAGCUUGAGUUCUGGAGAGGAAGGCGGAAUUCUCGGUGUAGAGGUGAAAUUCGUAGAUAUCGAGAGGAACACCGGUGGCGAAGGCGGCCUUCUGGACAGUGACUGACGCUGAGACGCGAAAGCGUGGGGAGCAAACGGG